This 465-nucleotide ribosomal RNA is filed under the name Vreelandella stevensii. RNAcentral describes it as "partial 16S ribosomal RNA". It matches the Rfam family "Bacterial small subunit ribosomal RNA", at positions 338 to 795 of the family's 1533-position model. Lineage: Bacteria; Pseudomonadati; Pseudomonadota; Gammaproteobacteria; Oceanospirillales; Halomonadaceae. The record is from RNAcentral.
CCUACGGGAGGCAGCAGUGGGGAAUAUUGGACAAUGGGGGGAACCCUGAUCCAGCCAUGCCGCGUGUGUGAAGAAGGCCCUCGGGUUGUAAAGCACUUUCAGUGAGGAAGAACGCCUGGUGGUUAAUACCCAUCAGGAAAGACAUCACUCACAGAAGAAGCACCGGCUAACUCCGUGCCAGCAGCCGCGGUAAUACGGAGGGUGCGAGCGUUAAUCGGAAUUACUGGGCGUAAAGCGCGCGUAGGUGGCUUGAUAAGCCGGUUGUGAAAGCCCCGGGCUCAACCUGGGAACGGCAUCCGGAACUGUCAAGCUAGAGUGCAGGAGAGGAAGGUAGAAUUCCCGGUGUAACGGUGAAAUGCGUAGAGAUCGGGAGGAAUACCAGUGGCGAAGGCGGCCUUCUGGACUGACACUGACACUGAGGUGCGAAAGCGUGGGUAGCAAACAGGAUUAGAUACCCUAGUAGUC